Chenopodium quinoa (quinoa) is the source of this 1815-nucleotide long non-coding RNA. RefSeq lists it as uncharacterized. The transcript has 2 exons. Lineage: Eukaryota; Viridiplantae; Streptophyta; Magnoliopsida; Caryophyllales; Amaranthaceae. The record is from RefSeq and is a predicted model, not a curated record.
AAUAACAAAAAUUAAAAAAAAAAUUAAAAAAAAAAAUCAGGUCAAAUCAGGUCGUUUUCGGGUUGACCCAAACCUGAAAAUAUCAGGUUCAGGUUGGGGGUUAGCUGACCCGAAACCCGAAAACCCGAACACGAACCCGACCUGAUCCGAUCCGUUUGCCACCCCUACCAACAAAGAGUUUGUGAAAAACUUACAUGGUUAAGCUGAUCUUUUUGAAGGUCUAGGACUUAUGCUUUAUCAUCUGGCGGUAGGCGGCUGCACAGCUGGCAGGUUUCUUGCUUGGAGAGAGUUGCUCCAUUGCUUCUUCUGCAUAAAAGGUCGGAUGCAUGUUAGUAAAAAAAAUAAAUAAUAAAAAAUAAAAAUUGCUAAGCAGACUCAUCCGGCCCUCUACCUCUGGUUUUUUCUGUAAUAAGGCCACAGGCGGCAAGAUAAGUGUCAUCCAUCAGCCCCUCAAACCUAGGGAUGUAAUUGUGGAGAAUUAUCUCUCUCCUAUUCCCUCCCUCUAUGGUUUUGGUGGUGACCUUAAAUAGACCAGGCAUCAGAAUUUGAUCCUAGCCUUCCUCAGUUACAGGCAAGAGAAUAGCUUUUGUGCCUAGAAGGUAUGGGUUUUGGUUCCAGAAAUUAUACCUCUGGUUCCUCCGAGUGUCUGGUGAAGAGAUAAUAUAAAAUCUGUUUCGCCGGUCCUUCCACUUGUUUUCCUUGCCCACGGUCAUCAUGUACCCUUUGUGACAAGUCAGUGUAUACCAACUAGGGCCGCUUGACUAAGGGGCUUUGCUCAGAUAAUGCAUUGAGGCAAAGGCUUCGAAGGCCGGCUCUACCCCGAGCAUAUUAUAGGCGGCGAUAUACCCUAGUAUGUUCACCCACGAAUUGGGGGCAAGUUGCCAAACCCCCAGGCGGUAACCAUCCAUAAUCUUCUCCACAUCUGGAUUAAGGGGAAAUCUUAGGCCCGCCUGUAUUGCUGCUUCGUAACAACCGAAGCAUUGGUCUCUAUUAGGGGUGUUCAAAAAUACCCGACUCGAUUAACCCGUCCCGCUGACCCGUCGACCCGAUAAAUUUAAGCGGGUAUUUUUCUGAUUUUUUUCAAAAUUGACGGGUCAAGUACCCAACCCGCUAAAAAAGAAGUGUAGCGGGUCGGGUCAUGGGCCGACUUUUGUGUUAGGCGAGUACCCGCUGACCCGCUAACUUUUUUUUUUUUUUUAAAUAUUUGAUUAUGUGUAUACUGUAGCUAGGCAAUUAGGGUUUUAUACUUUUAUGUGUGUACAGCCGUCACACAUUUUCUUCUUCCCCCUCUCUCUCCUUCACUCACAGUCACAACUCACGCACACCACACCUCCUUCUCUUUCUCUCUCCCCUUCACUCAUAGAUUCAUAGUCACAAUUUCACAAAUCAUGAAAACAUCAACAGCAAAAAUCAAGAGCAAACAUCAACCCGCAAAUCACGCAAUUAGCAUCAACAACAAAUUAACAUCAAGAGCAAGCAUUCAUUAGCCCAGUGAAUCGAACCACGGUAGAGGUCUUCGGUCCCACCGUAGCGGCACAAGCACAACCACAUGAGAGAUCUCCCAAGUCCCAUUGCAGCGACACAGCCACGCGAGACGGCAGAGAUCUCCCACCGCUGCGGCAAGUCGGCAACCGCGCGAGUAUGAGUUUUGAUUGUCGUGUUCAUAUUUGAAUUUGAAAGUUGGGUUGUUCAUUUGUGAAUGUUAAUGGUGUUUUGUGACUUUUGUCUAUGUUUAUCUUUGAUAUUUUGUAUAUUAUUUGUGGUUGCAAGCUUGCAACUAUUAUUUUUCUUAUGAUUCUUAGGUUGAAUUUUAAU